This is a small RNA of 122 nucleotides. It matches the Rfam family "Ribosomal protein L10 leader". From Rfam's summary of the family: This family is a putative r-protein leader autoregulatory structure found in B. subtilis and other low-GC Gram-positive bacteria. It is located in the 5' untranslated regions of mRNAs encoding ribosomal proteins L10 and L12 (rplJ-rplL). A Rho-independent transcription terminator structure that is probably involved in regulation is included at the 3' end.
AAUUGACUGCCGUAGACAGUAGGUGCUUUAUGCGUAAGAAUUAUUCGCCUACCGAGGAAUGUUAUUAUUUAUGAUGAUAAUUUACCUCUAUGUCUUUUUGGGCAUAGAGGUUUCUUAAUUUA